RNAcentral lists this transfer RNA (18 nucleotides) under Litoria latopalmata (broad-palmed frog). RNAcentral describes it as "partial tRNA-Ser". The record is from RNAcentral. Lineage: Eukaryota; Metazoa; Chordata; Amphibia; Anura; Pelodryadidae.
AGAUUAUAUGGUAGCACA